Molecule: transfer RNA, 72 nt
Filed under: Bacteroidales bacterium
Lineage: Bacteria; Pseudomonadati; Bacteroidota; Bacteroidia; Bacteroidales
Description: tRNA-Gly
Rfam family: tRNA
About the family: Transfer RNA (tRNA) molecules are approximately 80 nucleotides in length.
Source: RNAcentral
GCGCCCAUAGUUUAGUUGGCAGAACACGGGCUUCCCAAGCCUGAGACGCCGGAUAGUACCCGGUUGGACGCU